GGGUCAGUAGGUUGGUCGUGCCACCGGUACGUACUGGUCUCACUGAUUCCUCCUUCCUGAAGAACCGUAAUGCCAUUAAUUUGGUGUUGCGGGGAAACAGGACUGUUACUUUGAAAAAAUUAGAGUGUUUAAAGCAAGCUAACGCUUGGAUACAUUAGCAUGGAAUAAUGAAAUAGGACGAUCGAUCCUAUUUUGUUGGUUUCUAGGAUUGACGUA
Molecule: ribosomal RNA, 216 nt
Filed under: Glomeromycotina sp.
Lineage: Eukaryota; Fungi; Glomeromycota
Description: partial small subunit ribosomal RNA
Rfam family: Eukaryotic small subunit ribosomal RNA (bases 40-216)
Source: RNAcentral